CCUACGGGUGGCAGCAGUGAGGAAUAUUGGUCAAUGGGCGAGAGCCUGAACCAGCCAAGUAGCGUGAAGGAUGACUGCCCUACGGGUUGUAAACUUCUUUUAUCUUGGAAUAAAGUGUUCCACGUGUGGGCUUUUGUAUGUACCCUAUGAAUAAGGAUCGGCUAACUCCGUGCCAGCAGCCGCGGUAAUACGGAGGAUCCGAGCGGUAUCCGGAUUUAUUGGGUUUAAAGGGAGCGUAGGUGGGUUGGUAAGUCAGUUGUGAAAGUUUGCGGCUCAACCGUAAAAUUGCAGUUGAAACUGGCAGUCUUGAGUACAGGAGAGGUAGGCGGAAUUCGUGGUGUAGCGGUGAAAUGCUUAGAUAUCACGAAGAACUCCGAUUGCGAAGGCAGCCUACUGGACUGCCACUGACACUGAGGCUCGAAAGUGUGGGUAUCAAACAGGAUUAGAUACCCGUGUAGUC
RNAcentral lists this ribosomal RNA (460 nucleotides) under uncultured bacterium. RNAcentral describes it as "partial 16S ribosomal RNA". It matches the Rfam family "Bacterial small subunit ribosomal RNA", at positions 338 to 795 of the family's 1533-position model. The record is from RNAcentral.